Molecule: long non-coding RNA, 1462 nt
Filed under: Ananas comosus (pineapple)
Lineage: Eukaryota; Viridiplantae; Streptophyta; Magnoliopsida; Poales; Bromeliaceae
Description: long non-coding RNA (ACOM_LNC042112)
Source: RNAcentral
UUUUGCAUUUGGCCUCCAGGAAAAAAUUUAUUUUACAAAUAGCCUCAGCAAAUUUAUAUUUACAAAAAUGACCUUACCCCUACCGCGUAGGCACCAUGUGAGCAGGGCUGGGGCCAAUUUAUUAAGUUGAACACGGUGAAUCAUUCAUCGUGUCUAAACAUAAUGAAUGGUUCAUCGUGUUCCAUACCUAUAUUCCCCUUCUUCCCAUUCGCCACGUAGGUGCCUGCGUGGCGAGGAUAUGGCCAAAUUUACAAUUAUAAAUUUGAUGGGCUAUUUGUAAAAAAAUAUAUCUUGAGGGGGCCAAAUCCAAAAAAGCCCUAUAUAAAAAAAUAUAUUUAUUUAUUUAUAUUUUAAAGAAAAUAUUUUAUUUUAAUAUAAAUAUAUUUAUUAUAUAAUAUUUUAUCAUAUAAAUAUUAUUUAUAAAUAGAUAAUAAUGUUAUUUUAUAGUAUUAAAUAUGUACUACCGACCGUUCCUAGAGCAAGUGGCAAAGGGCUUGAUGGUUAGUAUCCGAGACCCAAGUUCGAAUCCUAAUUGAUUCAUAUUUCCAGCUAAGUUUGUUUCUAAAUAAAAUAAACGAAACAGGUAGCGUGCUACCUAUCUCUCAAAAAAGCACUAUUAUAUAUUAUAUUACGAAUAAUAUAUUUUAAAUAUAUUUUGUUUAUAAAUAUAAAUUAUAAUACUAAUAUAUAUAAUAUGAUAAUUAUUAUAUAUAAAUAAUAUAUAUAAUAAGAAAAUAUAUAUAAUAAUGUAUUAUUUAUAAAUUUUUCGUUUUUUUCCUUUCAAUCAAACAACCGUAAAGAAAAACUAAUUUAUAUUUUUAUUUAUAAAAUUAUAUGUAGAACGCAGCGAAAGUAUUAGUUCGUACCUUUUUCGGAAGCGAUUCGCGUUACAACUCGAUGAGCCCGGAUCGUCGAGGUUGAUUCACGUGUCCUUUGAUCGUCCUUGAUUAAAUCUUCUCACGUUCCAAACUCGCGAUGGAUCGAACUACAAAUGAGCACGAUCACAAAUCCAUUGUUCAAGUCCUUCUUAGAAUUAUAGGUUGACGGAGGAUGUGGUUUCUCUCUUUCGUUUUCUUAUUCUCUUUUAUUUUUCCGUUCUUGUACCUUUUGUUAUGUGGGAUCGCCCACAUAUUUAUAAAGGGUUCCAAAAUCCUAAUAGCAUAAGAGAUAAGACCAAAUCGGUUAUUAAUUGUUAUCCUAAUAUGACUAGAAUUUAUCUCUAACUAGCUUUCCAAUUUGAAAGCGAGAUUAAUUCCAAUCCAAUUAGAUAACAUAAUAUCCGUCGGAUCGAACCCGCUUAUGGGCGUACCCGAUUCGAUUUAACCGAAUGCCAAUAUCUCCCACUCGCACAUGACGGAAUCGAUGCCAUCGUAACAACUUCCUCAACAUCACACUACUAUUAAUUCUAUUCAUAUAGGAAAAUGAACAGUGCGACCGCCGAGUCAACCUGCAUUUUAGGAGC